This 433-nucleotide ribosomal RNA is filed under the name uncultured Clostridium sp. RNAcentral's name for it is "bacterial SSU rRNA". It matches the Rfam family "Bacterial small subunit ribosomal RNA", at positions 958 to 1392 of the family's 1533-position model. The record is from RNAcentral. Lineage: Bacteria; Bacillati; Bacillota; Clostridia; Eubacteriales; Clostridiaceae.
AACGCGAAGAACCUUACCUAGACUUGACAUCUCCUGCAUUACUCUGUAAUGGAGGAAGUCGCUUCGGCGGCAGGAAGACAGGUGGUGCAUGGUUGUCGCCAGCUCGUGUCGUGAGAUGUUGGGUUAAGUCCCGCAACGAGCGCAACCCUUGCCUUUAGUUGCCAGCAUUAAGUUGGGCACUCUAGAGGGACUGCCAGGGAUAACCUGGAGGAAGGUGGGGAUGACGUCAAAUCAUCAUGCCCCUUAUGUCUAGGGCUACACACGUGCUACAAUGGUCGGUACAAUAAGACGCGAGCCCGCGAGGGGGAGCAAAACUGGAAAACCGAUCUCAGUUCGGAUUGUAGGCUGAAACUCGCCUACAUGAAGUUGGAAUUGCUAGUAAUCGCGGAUCAGCAUGCCGCGGUGAAUACGUUCCCGGGUCUUGUACACACCG